AUGGUCCAACUACAGAACUUCUUCUUUUUCAUUACUUCCAUGGUCGUGCCCCGUGGCACGGCAGCACCCGUACUAUUGAAAUGGUUCGUCAGUAGAGAUGUUCCCACUGGUGCCUCUUCUUCCAAUGGUACUUUAAUUCCUAUUCCUAUCCCUUUAUUCCCUUUUUUGGUCUAUCUACAUUUAAGGAAAUUCAUACGCUCCAUGGACAGAGCAAAAAGUGGAGUGUUGGUCAAAGCAAGCCGCCCUAUUCUAUUACCAGACAAAAUGGAGAGAAGCUCAUCCGCUAGAAAUGCUUUAUUUCGUUUAGUUCCCGUUCUUCAUUUCCUUAUUAUCGAAUCCAUGGGGGACUUGUCAUAUUUAGAAUCUUUCUGCGGUCUGCUCUGUUUACAAUUCUUUCGUACUCUCUUCUCUUUACCACGCGAUAGGUCAGCGAAGCGUGAGCGGGUGCUCCGAAGUAAAGGCCAAACACUUCGGCCUAAGGGGAAUGAGCAACAAAAUGACAAGAUGAGGUGCCCCGGGCACCCCCAUAUAGAAAGAAGGGUCGAAGGUUUUGGGCCUGUAGCUUUCCCCGCCCCCCCCUCGUCGAGUGGUGCUUGUUUGGGGGGUGUGCCACCAGAAAGCGGGCUUGAAGCUCUCGCCUUACCAACGAGCCGAUUGCUGAUGGCUGUUGGUCACGACUACUACAAAAAAGUGAAGAUGAAUCUUUCUAUUUCACAUGGAGGAGUGUGCAUCUUUAUGUUGGGUGUUCUUCUGUCGUGCGACCCGAUGGCUUAUGUGCGACCUGUGGCCCACGCCUCCUAUUCUAUUUGUUCAGGGCGGGCGGCGUGA
Molecule: ribosomal RNA, 828 nt
Filed under: Triticum aestivum (bread wheat)
Lineage: Eukaryota; Viridiplantae; Streptophyta; Magnoliopsida; Poales; Poaceae
Description: partial small subunit ribosomal RNA
Source: RNAcentral